Cucumis melo (muskmelon) is the source of this 931-nucleotide long non-coding RNA. RefSeq lists it as uncharacterized. The transcript has 2 exons. NCBI's taxonomy places the organism in Eukaryota, Viridiplantae, Streptophyta, Magnoliopsida, Cucurbitales, Cucurbitaceae. The record is from RefSeq and is a predicted model, not a curated record.
UUAGAAAUAUUAUGUGAGAAGGCCCUAAAUCUAUUUUAGGCCUCAUUUGGUUAGAAGUUAGAUGGUUUUUGCCACCCAAGGAGUUCGAUCGCUUUGGAGUUUAAAGAAGGAAAACAUGUACGGCACAAAGUAUUUGCUAGAACAAAUAGAUUAAACUCAGGGGAUGCCUUUGUUGGAGAAGAUCUUUUGUGUUAGGGAAAUCCAGAUCCACAUGUUGCUAGUGCACAGGAAAAUCCAGAUCCACAUGUUGUGUUGCAGAAGAUUUAGGCAGUGAUGUUGAACAUGUCAUACGUGAAGAGGUAAUAGUUCAAGUAGUGAUAGGUGACUCUUUCGAGCGACUCAUGUGUGCCACAUACGCACAAGUACUUUAGAGGAGCAGCAGUUAAGUCAAGGUCAGUCAAGGCAAUAGCGACGUGUCCUUAUGUAAAAGUAGGAAAAAGGUAGGAAAAACGUACGUCUGAAAAUGGCAGCCGUAAACCACAGUUUUUCAGAUAAGCAGAAGUAGUUUUUCUUGCCACUGUAUUUCUCCUUUCUUUUUCCGAAGCGGAAAGGUCAACUAAGCCAAGGUCAAGAAAAUGAAGGUAACGAUGAUGAUGAUUAUGGUGGUAGUUACAGUAGUGCCGGAGGAGAUGGAGGCAAUCAAGUACAAGACAAUACGGAAGGAGGCCAACAAUACGAAGAACGUAGCCCAUCACCAGAGAAUCUCAAUUUACGCAUGCCAUACAAGACUCUAACCAUAACCAUAGAGCCAAUGGACGAAGAAUUGGAGCAAUAGGAAAACCUCCAUUUGUAGAGGAUCCGUGCAUGAUGAUGCUCAAAUUUAUACUGACUAGUUUCAAGAACGGAGAAGAUGAGUUUGAACAGUCGAUGUGGACAUGAAUAAUAUGUCUAUAACAAUAGUAAUUAUGGUUAUAAUUAUGUUGGGCUAGUA